This 288-nucleotide unclassified non-coding RNA is filed under the name plant metagenome. RNAcentral's name for it is "partial contains small subunit ribosomal RNA, internal transcribed spacer 1, and 5.8S ribosomal RNA". The stretch from base 1 to 53 matches the Rfam family "Eukaryotic small subunit ribosomal RNA", at positions 1778 to 1831 of the family's 1831-position model. The record is from RNAcentral.
GGAAGUAAAAUCGUAACAAGGUUUCCGUAGGUGAACCUGCGGAAGGAUCAUUAUCGUACAAAAUGUGAGGGGCAUGCGAGGGCUGUCGCUGACCCAAAAGUCGUGCACGCCCGAGUGUGUCCUCUUGCAUAAUAAUCCAUCUCACCCUUUGUGCAUCACCGCGUGGGCACCCUUCGGGAUCAUCUCGGAGGGGGGCUCGCGUUUUCACACAAACCCCCCUUUUAAAAGUGUAGAAUGACCACAUCUAUGCAAUCAAUACAACUUUCAACAACGGAUCUCUUGGCUCUC